This 498-nucleotide ribosomal RNA is filed under the name uncultured bacterium. RNAcentral describes it as "partial 16S ribosomal RNA". It matches the Rfam family "Bacterial small subunit ribosomal RNA", at positions 29 to 523 of the family's 1533-position model. The record is from RNAcentral.
AAUGAACGCUGGCGGCGUGCUUAACACAUGCAAGUCGAGCGAGAAAGUCCCUUCGGGGAUGAGUACAGCGGCGGACGAGUGAGUAAUGCGUAAGAAUCUGCCCUCUAAUGAAGGAUACCCCCGAGAAAUCGGGUUCAAUACUGCAUAAGUCCCUACGGGGAGAAAGGUGGCCUAAUUUGCUGCCGUUAGAGGAUGAGCUUGCGUGCUAUUAGCUAGUUGGUGGGGUAAAGGCCUACCAAGGCGAUGAUGGCUAGCCGGCCUGAGAGGGUGUCCGGCCACACUGGAACUUAGACACGGUCCAGGCUCCUACGGGAGGCAGCAGUGGGGAAUAUUGCGCAAUGGGCGAAAGCCUGACGCAGCGACGCCGCGUGGAGGAUGAAGGUCUUCGGAUUGUAAACUUCUGUUAAGUGGGAAAAAAGACCAGUCUUUAAUAGAGGCUGGGGAUGAUUGUACCAUUAGAGAAAGCACUGGCUAACUUCGUGCCAGCCGCCGCCGUAA